GGCUUGUAGCUCAGUGGUAGAAUGCUUAUCUAGCACAUAUGAGACACUGGGUUCAAUUCUCAGCACCA
This 68-nucleotide transfer RNA is filed under the name Marmota monax (woodchuck). Its description in RNAcentral is "tRNA.Ala". The record is from RNAcentral. Lineage: Eukaryota; Metazoa; Chordata; Mammalia; Rodentia; Sciuridae.